RNAcentral lists this transfer RNA (81 nucleotides) under Methanobacteriota archaeon. Its description in RNAcentral is "Euryarchaeota archaeon tRNA-Ser". It matches the Rfam family "tRNA". Rfam says of the family: Transfer RNA (tRNA) molecules are approximately 80 nucleotides in length. Lineage: Archaea; Methanobacteriati; Methanobacteriota. The record is from RNAcentral.
GGGGUAGCCUAGCCCGGUCCAAGGCGUCGGCCUUGAGAGCCGAUGGAGCAACCGCUCCGCAAGGGUUCAAAUCCCUUCCCC